GAUGAACGCUGGCGGCGUGCCUAAUACAUGCAAGUCGAGCGAACAGACGAGGAGCUUGCUCCUCUGACGUUAGCGGCGGACGGGUGAGUAACACGUGGAUAAACGACCGAUAAGACUGGGAUAACUUCGGGAAACCGGAGCUCAUACCGGAGAAUAUAUUGAACCGCAUGGUUCAAUAGUGAAAGACGGUUUUGCUGGCACUUAUAGAUGGAUCCGCGCCGCAUUAGCUAGUUGGUAAGGUAACGGCUUACCAAGGCGACGAUGCGUAGCCGACCUGAGAGGGUGAUCGCCCACACUAGAACUAAGACACGGUCCAGUCUCCUACGGGAGGCCGCAGUCGGGAAUCUUUCGCAAUGGGCGACAGCCUGACCCAGGACCGCCGCGUCAGUGAUGAAGGUCUUGGGAUCGUAAAACGCUGUUAUUAGCGAAGAACAAAUGUGUCAGUAACUAUGCACGUCUUGACGGUACCUAAUCAGAAAGCCACGGCUAACUACGUG
RNAcentral lists this ribosomal RNA (497 nucleotides) under uncultured bacterium. RNAcentral describes it as "partial 16S ribosomal RNA". It matches the Rfam family "Bacterial small subunit ribosomal RNA", at positions 28 to 507 of the family's 1533-position model. The record is from RNAcentral.